RNAcentral lists this ribosomal RNA (497 nucleotides) under uncultured bacterium. RNAcentral describes it as "partial 16S ribosomal RNA". It matches the Rfam family "Bacterial small subunit ribosomal RNA", at positions 28 to 507 of the family's 1533-position model. The record is from RNAcentral.
GACGAACGCUGGCGGCGUGCCUAAUACAUGCAAGUUGAGCGAUGAAGAUUGGUGCUUGCACCAAUUUGAAGAGCAGCGAACGGGUGAGUAACGCGUGGGGAAUCUGCCUUUGAGCGGGGGACAACAUUUGGAAACGAAUGCUAAUACCGCAUAACAACUUUAAACAUAAGUUUUAAGUUUGAAAGAUGCAAUUGCAUCACUCAAAGAUGAUCCCGCGUUGUAUUAGCUAGUUGGUGAGGUAAAGGCUCACCAAGGCGAUGAUACAUAGCCGACCUGAGAGGGUGAUCGGCCACAUUGGGACGUAGAAACGGCCCAAACUCCUACGGGAGGCAGCAGUAGGGGAUCUUCGGCAAUGGACGAAAGUCUGACCGAGCCACGCCGCGUGAGUGAAGAAGGUUUUCGGAUCGUAAAACUCUGUUGGUAGAGAAGAACGUUGGUGAGAGUGGAAAGCUCAUCAAGUGACGGUAACUACCCAGAAAGGGACGGCUAACUACGUG